CGAAGGGGCUAGCGUUGCUCGGAAUGACUGGGCGUAAAGGGCGCGUAGGCGGAUGUUUUAGUCAGGCGUGAAAGUCCUGGGCUCAACCUGGGGAUUGCGUUUGAUACGGGGCAUCUAGAGUUGGGAAGAGGGUCGUGGAAUUCCCAGUGUAGAGGUGAAAUUCGUAGAUAUUGGGAAGAACACCGGUGGCGAAGGCGGCGACCUGGUCCUUGACUGACGCUGAGGCGCGAAAGCGUGGGGAGCAAACAGGAUU
This 253-nucleotide ribosomal RNA is filed under the name uncultured bacterium. RNAcentral describes it as "partial 16S ribosomal RNA". It matches the Rfam family "Bacterial small subunit ribosomal RNA", at positions 527 to 779 of the family's 1533-position model. The record is from RNAcentral.